This is an RNA transcript of Propithecus coquereli (Coquerel's sifaka), 513 nucleotides long. It is a transcript of the gene named cytochrome c oxidase subunit 7A2, mitochondrial pseudogene, with no coding region annotated. NCBI's taxonomy places the organism in Eukaryota, Metazoa, Chordata, Mammalia, Primates, Indriidae. The record is from RefSeq and is a predicted model, not a curated record. The transcript is spliced from 2 exons.
AUGAGCAGCCAGGAGGUAGUUCCGGUUCCGGUGUCGCGACUUUUCGUGUUCGGUGUUCAGUUGUUGCGGCUGGUGGCUAGUAACUGAACCAAGAUGCUGCGGAAUCUGUUGGCUCUCCGUCAGAUUGCCCAGAGGACCAUAAGCACUGCUUCACGCAGGCAUUUUGAAAAUAAAGUUCCAGAGAAGCAAAAGCUGUUUCAGGAGGAUGAUGGAAUUCCAGUGCAUCUGAAGGGUGGGAUAGCUGAUGCCCUCCUGUAUAGAAUCACCGUGAUUCUUACAGUUGGUGGAACAGCAUAUGCCAUGUAUCAGCUGGCUAUGGCUUCAUUUCCCAAGAAGCAGGAUUGACUUCAGUCAUCCCAGCAAUCAUUUGGUUCAAUUUCAUUCACCUCUUCAUGGACCAGUAAUCUGAUAAAUAACUGAGCUCUUCUUUGGGGAUCAAUAUUUAUUGACUUGUACUAACUGCUACCAAUAAAGCAGUCUUUACCAAAAAAAAAAAAAAAAGACAAAACAAAA